UAGUGUGUGUAUAUGUGUGUGUGUGUGUGUGUGUAUAUAUAUAUAUACACACACACACAUACACACACAUGCAUACAUAUAUAC
Molecule: microRNA precursor, 84 nt
Filed under: Myotis lucifugus (little brown bat)
Lineage: Eukaryota; Metazoa; Chordata; Mammalia; Chiroptera; Vespertilionidae
Description: miRNA (ENSMLUG00000028774.1)
Source: RNAcentral